AGUUGAACCUGGCUCAGAUUGAACGCUGGCGGCAUGCCUUACACAUGCAAGUCGAACGGCAGCACGGGAGCAUCCUGGUGGCGAGUGGCGAACGGGUGAGUAAUGUAUCGGAACGUACCUUUCCAGUGGGGGAUAACGUAGCGAAAGUUACGCUAAUACCGCAUAUUCUCUGAGGAGGAAAGCAGGGGACCUUCGGGCCUUGCGCUGUUAGAGCGGCCGAUAUCAGAUUAGCUAGUUGGUGGGGUAAAAAGCUGCUCACCAAGGCGACGAUCUGUAGCGGGUCUGGUCUGAGAGGAUGAUCCCCCCCCCCGGAAUAGAAACCGUCCCGAUUCUUCCGGAGGGCAGCAGGGGGAAUUUGACAAUGGGCGCAAGCCUGAUCCAGCCAUGCCGCGUGAGUGAAGAAGGCCUUCGGGUUGUAAAGCUCUUUCGGCCGGGAAGAAAUCGCAUUGGUUAAUACCUGGUGUGGAUGACGGUACCGAA
This 480-nucleotide ribosomal RNA is filed under the name Dechloromonas sp. C4. Its description in RNAcentral is "bacterial SSU rRNA". It matches the Rfam family "Bacterial small subunit ribosomal RNA", at positions 10 to 482 of the family's 1533-position model. The record is from RNAcentral. Lineage: Bacteria; Pseudomonadati; Pseudomonadota; Betaproteobacteria; Rhodocyclales; Azonexaceae.